CUCCUUUAAAUGUAUAGCUGUCCGCGGCGCUGCCUGCCUGGAAAUGAGUGAAUGCAAACCUAGGCAAAGACCGUCCGACUGUUUAUUCCCAUCCCUGGCACUGAUAUGAUUGCUAAUAAAGAGUGGUGAUAAUUUUAUGAGGGGGACUCGGAUGUGAACGUGGGCUCCCUGAGGGCAGGCGGGCCGGGCCCGUGUCGGCCCGGG
Non-coding RNA from Pelobates cultripes (western spadefoot toad), 204 nucleotides. The record is from the annotation of a GenBank genome assembly. NCBI's taxonomy places the organism in Eukaryota, Metazoa, Chordata, Amphibia, Anura, Pelobatidae.